UACGUAGGUGGCAAGCGUUGUCCGGAAUUAUUGGGCGUAAAGCGCGCGCAGGCGGUCCUUUAAGUCUGAUGUGAAAGCCCACGGCUCAACCGUGGAGGGUCAUUGGAAACUGGGGGACUUGAGUGCAGAAGAGGAAAGUAGAAUUCCAAGUGUAGCGGUGAAAUGCGUAGAGAUUUGGAGGAACACCAGUGGCGAAGGCGACUUUCUGGUCUGUAACUGACGCUGGGGCGCGAAAGCGUGGGGAGCAAACAGG
This 253-nucleotide ribosomal RNA is filed under the name uncultured bacterium. Its description in RNAcentral is "partial 16S ribosomal RNA". It matches the Rfam family "Bacterial small subunit ribosomal RNA", at positions 524 to 776 of the family's 1533-position model. The record is from RNAcentral.